UUAAGAACAUUCCUUGUUCUUGUAUCUGAAGAGAACUCAUUAAAACAUGAUUAAAAUGGAAAAAGAAAUAAAGUGAUGUUUCUGGCCUAAAACAAAAAUGCAACAAUAAUAGCACUGAUAUGAGAAAGAGAAAGACUCUCAGGAAAGACAAAGCACUGUGGUUCCUUCAAAUGCUUUCAUUUUUAUUCCAAAGAGUCUGGUAAUGCGUCGCUGUUCCUUUCCAACCCCAAUAUCCUCAGAAAACCCAGAGCCCUGAGCUCUCGAGGGACAGUGAAGUUUUCAGUCCCCGAGCAGUAGGCUGAACUGCAUUUAUUAAUCUCUAGUCUAUGUCACCAGGGACCCUAACGUUAGGUACUGUAAUUAGUCACCAUGGGGGUUACAAAUUCCAAGUCAAAGACAAGUGUACAUAAUUGAUGUCAUGGCAUGAAGAGGAGCUGACGAGCCCAUUAAGAAAGCUGCCUGUCACUCUCAGAACAUAGUGCUCCUUCAAAUUAACUACAGAAGUGUUGUAAAUGAUAAAGAUGCGGAGAAACAGGAAAUAGGACACCCGCUGUGUUAAAGAAUGACUGUCUUCUUGUUGGCUAUUUGGAAGACGCAACUAAAAGGAAUCAUCCUGUUAAAGGCAAAUGUGUGGAUGCAAUUAAUCUCAUCUUGUUCAUGUAGUGUAGGCACUUCAACCUUAAGUUCUCAGAAGUAUGUAUGCGCUUAACUAGUUUUGAUUUUAUAUGCUGAAGCAGCACAAAAGUAGCACAGUAAUAUGGGCUAUGGUGUUCCAAUAACCACUUAGGUCCCUGCAGUAAAUGAUAUAAAAAAACAAAAAUCAGCAGUAAAUGCACACCAAGUGGGAAGUCCCGUGGCUGGCUGAAGAUAACUGAAAAGUCCAUUUCACUGCUGUGCUCAGAGAUGUUAGCUACAAAACUCUGGCGUUUAUUUCAGUCAAGCUGUCCUUUUUCCCUGUCACCUACCAUGUUUCCAAGGGAAACCUGCAUCUCUGGCACUUCCCAGACAGGAAAAUUGGGUCUGCAGUAAUCCCAAGUACCUGUGAUAAGACGCUCGGCUCUGUCAUGGAGGCCGAAGGCUUUGCGAGCAGGGAAGGACAGCGAGUCAGCUGGAUGUACGUGCAUUAUGCCAUGUCCCUGCCAGGGCUGGAGCCUAAUUGGAUUGCACAAAUGCGACUUCUGUGUCUCUUGAUCACAAAACCAAAUUAAACCUCAAGAACUUUCAAACAAAUCCCUACCUGAAAGUUUGCCUUGAAAAGAAAGUGCUGAUAGCUGGUAUCAUUUCAGGAUGAGAGUAAAAUGAAAACUCCAAACAAAAACUAUUGCUUUAAAGCAAGUUAGAAGAGAAGCAAAGCAAAGCACGAGCAGCAAAUCUGCUGAACUCCUGGGUGUACUGAACAAAAUCAGCCGUGUGAUAAUGAUGGGAUUUUCUAGAAGACCUUUUAGGCAUGCAACUUCUGUAUUAAUUUAUUCAGAAUUCCCUAGAACAUCUGUUUCUUCUCUAAAAUGAGAAUAACAGCCACUUUUUACAGUGCAAUGACAGCUACAGAUGAAAGCAUGGUAAUUACCACUAGUGACUACUGCCUAACAGAUUUUCUUGCAAGUUUCUCUGUCAAGAGUUUUUUUUUUUUAAUCUACAUGCGGAUUCUGGAUAAGAACCUCAGCCAUGAUAGCCCCAGUUCAUGCAAUUUUGGGAGGGAGGGGGGAUUAACAGUGAAGCCUCUUGAAUCCAGGUCACAAGCAGGCUCCCCCUUUCCAAACGUUUGUGCGUGAUUCAGGGUGCAGAGAUGACGGCUGCUGGCAGGCUUCCCCUGGGGCCACCGCGGCAGUGGCUCAGGGUCUCCAGGGCAGCCUCUGCUGCAUUCACAGCAAGGCCAGGACGCGUGCGGACACCCCAGUUCGUCUGCAGAGCAUGAGGCAAGCAAACGUUGCCCUCCUUGUGCAAACAGCAAGGCACACAAAGUCACUAAACCGGAUUAGUUUGGUACGAUCCCAGCACUCAGGCAAAAGCUUGCCUCUUGAACAACUCCGUGAGCAUACCGCUGCGAGAUCACUUGGCACCAGGCUGUUCUGAUCUUUAUGCAGCCGCAUGAGCAGUUGUAAGACAGGGACCAAAAAGCCAAGGGACGGGGAAACAUGGGCAACUUUCAUGCAGAGCAAAAUUCUGCUGUAAGAAACCUGGCUGACAUCUCUGUGUGCAGCAGGGAAUGGCAGCUAUUG
Molecule: long non-coding RNA, 2219 nt
Organism: Oxyura jamaicensis (ruddy duck)
Lineage: Eukaryota; Metazoa; Chordata; Aves; Anseriformes; Anatidae
Exons: 2
Source: RefSeq, a predicted model, not a curated record